RNAcentral lists this transfer RNA (72 nucleotides) under Ovis aries (sheep). It matches the Rfam family "tRNA". Rfam says of the family: Transfer RNA (tRNA) molecules are approximately 80 nucleotides in length. Their secondary structure includes four short double-helical elements and three loops (D, anti-codon, and T loops). Lineage: Eukaryota; Metazoa; Chordata; Mammalia; Artiodactyla; Bovidae. The record is from Rfam by way of RNAcentral.
UCCCUGGUGGUCCAGUGGUUAAGAAUCCUGCUGCCAAUGCAGGGACCACAGGUUCGAUCCCUGGCCUGGGAA